GUGUCUCAGUUCCAGUGUGGCCGAUCACCCUCUCAGGUCGGCUACGUAUCGUUGCCUUGGUAAGCCGUUACCUUACCAACUAGCUAAUACGGCGCAGGUCCAUCUAUAAGUGAUAGCAAAGCCAUCUUUCACUAUCGAACCAUGCGGUUCGAAAUAUUAUCCGGUAUUAGCUCCGGUUUCCCGAAGUUAUCCCAGUCUUAUAGGUAGGUUACCUACGUGUUACUCACCCGUCCGCCGCUAACGUCGAAGGAGCAAGCUCCUCGUCUGUUCGCUCGACUUGCAUGUAUUAGGCACGCCGCCAGCGUUCAUCCUGAGCCAGGAUCAAACUCU
RNAcentral lists this ribosomal RNA (330 nucleotides) under Staphylococcus hominis. RNAcentral's name for it is "partial 16S ribosomal RNA". The record is from RNAcentral. Lineage: Bacteria; Bacillati; Bacillota; Bacilli; Caryophanales; Staphylococcaceae.